UGAUGAGGGGGAGGUUGAAGGUAGAAAUCUAGUUGUCAAUCUUAAGAUUGAUGAGGGGGAGGUUGAAGGUAGAAACCUCUAGUUGUCAAUCUUAAGAUUGAUGAGGGGGAGGUUGAAGGUAGAAACUCUAGUUGUCAAUCUUAAGAUUGAUGAGGGGGAGGUUGAAGGUAGAAACUCUAGUUGUCAAUCUUAAGAUUGAUGAGGGGGAGGUUGAAGGUAGAAACUCUAGUUGUCAAUCAUAAGAUUGAUGAGGGGGAGUUGAAUGUAGAAACUCUAGUUGUCAAUCUUAAGAUUGAUGAGGGGGAGGUUGAAGGUAGAAACUCUAGUUGUCAAUCUUAAGAUUGAUGAGGGGGAGGUUGAAGGUAGAAACUCUAGUUGUCAAUCUUAAGAUUGAUGAGGGGGAGGU
Long non-coding RNA from Nilaparvata lugens (brown planthopper), 406 nucleotides. RefSeq lists it as uncharacterized. The transcript has 4 exons. Lineage: Eukaryota; Metazoa; Arthropoda; Insecta; Hemiptera; Delphacidae. The record is from RefSeq and is a predicted model, not a curated record.